CAUGGGGUGUCGGGAAAGAUUAUAUCGGUAUGGGAUGGGGUCGCGUCCUAUCAGGUAGUCGGCGGGGUAACGGCCCACCGAGCCUACGACGGGUAGCCGGCCUGAGAGGGCGACCGGCCACAUUGGGACUGAGAUACGGCCCAGACUCCUACGGGAGGCAGCAGUGCGGAAUAUUGCACAAUGGGCGCAAGCCUGAUGCAGCGACGCCGCGUGCGGGAUGACGGCCUUCGGGUUGUAAACCGCUUUUGAUCGGGAGCAAGCCUUCGGGUGAGUGUACCUUUCGAAUAAGCACCGGCUAACUACGUGCCAGCAGCCGCGGUAAUACGUAGGGUGCAAGCGUUAUCCGGAAUUAUUGGGCGUAAAGGGCUCGUAGGCGGUUCGUCGCGUCCGGUGUGAAAGUCCAUCGCUUAACGGUGGAUCUGCGCCGGGUACGGGCGGG
This 439-nucleotide ribosomal RNA is filed under the name uncultured Bifidobacterium sp. RNAcentral's name for it is "bacterial SSU rRNA". It matches the Rfam family "Bacterial small subunit ribosomal RNA", at positions 189 to 640 of the family's 1533-position model. The record is from RNAcentral. Lineage: Bacteria; Bacillati; Actinomycetota; Actinomycetes; Bifidobacteriales; Bifidobacteriaceae.